UGGGGAAUAUUGGACAAUGGGGGGAACCCUGAUCCAGCCAUGCCGCGUGUGUGAAGAAGGCCUUAUGGUUGUAAAGCACUUUAAGCGAGGAGGAGGGUACUGGUAUUAAUACUACCAGCUACUGGACGUUACUCGCAGAAUAAGCACCGGCUAACUCUGUGCCAGCAGCCGCGGUAAUACAGAGGGUGCGAGCGUUAAUCGGAUUUACUGGGCGUAAAGCGUGCGUAGGCGGCUAAUUGAGUCGGAUGUGAAAUCCCCGAGCUUAACUUGGGAAUUGCAUUCGAUACUGGUUAGAUAGAGUGUGGGAGAGGAUGGUAGAAUUCCAGGUGUAGCGGUGAAAUGCGUAGAGAUCUGGAGGAAUACCGAUGGCGAAGGCAGCCAUCUGGCAUAACACUGACGCUGAGGUACGAAAGCAUGGGGAGCAAACAGG
RNAcentral lists this ribosomal RNA (430 nucleotides) under Pseudomonadota bacterium. Its description in RNAcentral is "Proteobacteria bacterium partial 16S ribosomal RNA". It matches the Rfam family "Bacterial small subunit ribosomal RNA", at positions 355 to 776 of the family's 1533-position model. The record is from RNAcentral. Lineage: Bacteria; Pseudomonadati; Pseudomonadota.